Molecule: RNA transcript, 3671 nt
Organism: Pogoniulus pusillus (Red-fronted tinkerbird)
Lineage: Eukaryota; Metazoa; Chordata; Aves; Piciformes; Lybiidae
Gene: PDGFRL
Gene name: platelet derived growth factor receptor like
Exons: 8
Source: RefSeq, a predicted model, not a curated record
CCCCGGGCCUGCAGAGCCGCAACGCGCCUUCUGCUGUCGGGGAGCCUCGGGCAGGGAGCCCCGGUGCCUGACCGGCUCCUCCCCGCGCCGCGGCCCACUGAGGCGCUACGGGGCCGCCCUCCGCUGCCGGCGCUGCCUCAGUCCAUCGCUCUGGCCGCUCCCGCCAUGCGGCUCUGCUUGCUGCUCAGCCUGAUGCUGCUGCAGGAAACGCUGCUACACGUUACUGGACAGCCUGCAAAGAGUAAGCGUCCAAAAGAACCUGGGGAAAACAAAAUUAAGCCUGUUAAUAAAAAAGUAAAACCCAAACACCCCAGAAUGAAGGAAAGAGAAUCUGUUGACUCCUCUUUGAAGUCCCAGUCCAUACUGACACAGGUGAUGGAUAAAGGUCGUUUACAGAAACUAGCUGCCACUUUAAGUGUGUCUGCAGGAGAAAACUUAGAACUGCGAUGUAAGGGGAAUAAUGUCACUUGGAACUACCCUUCCUACUUAGACACCUUUAAAGACUCCAGACUCAGGAUAAAGCAACUUGACAAGUACAGUCAGCUGAUCUUGGAAAACUCCACUGCAGCAGACACAGGUGAAUAUAGCUGCUGGCUUCAGCUCUGCAACGCUAAAAAAUGCAGGAAAGAUGAGACUAAAACAGGUUCCACAUACAUCUUUUUCACAGAUAGAGAGGAACUUUUUGUACCUACUCCCAGUUAUUUUGAGAUUGUCUACCUGAACCCAGAUAAACCUGCAGUCAUCCCAUGCCGUGUUACUACUCCUUCAGCAAAAGUUACUCUGCACAGGGAAUUUCCAGCAGAAGAAAUUGAAACAGAUGGAACUGAUAUUAUUUAUGAUAUGAAGAAGGGUUUUGUCUACCAGCAUCCUACUUUUGAUCAUAAAGGUAUUGUCUACUGCAAAGCAGAGUCACAGGGAGCACCUCAGAUUUCCAUCAAGUAUCACCUCCUAUAUGUGGAAGUUCCCAAGGGCCCACCUUCAGCCACAAUUGAGGCAUCAUCCAGUAGAGCAGAAGUCAGCGAUGGUGUCCAUGUGACCUGCACAGUCCUUGGGGAGCCAGAUGUAGACGUGAACUUCAGGUGGCAGUACCCAGGGCAAGAGUCUGAGAGGCCUGUGAUUAUCCAAAACUUCUGGAGACUGAUAAACAGAGGAACAAGCCAUACCACAAGAAUUUCAAAGAGUGUUCUUCUUGUUGAGGAUGUUGAAGCUGAAGAUGCUGGAAACUACAUUUGUAUAGCUCAGAACCUACAUGGCGAAACAGCAGUGGCUACUAAAGUUGAACUAAAUUGAUAGGAAAGGCUUCUGGACAUAGAAUGAACAGUAUGGUUCAAGCACAGAAUCCAUGUAAGCUAGAACUUCCAGUAAGAAUGUAUUCAGAGGAGGUGUGUGACAGUCUUCAUGUAAGCUAUUUUAUUUACAAGGCAUGUGAAAAACAACUUACUCUGAGCAUAGCAGGAAGCUGUUCCAUAUGUGCAUACUUCAAUGUGUCUCAGCCUGCGUUCAACUAGAAUUCCUAAAGCUUGCUUCUGGUGAAGUAAGCGCUUUGAUUCACAUGUUAAUUCAAACUUCUGAGCAGAUGGGUAUGGUGCUAGUUUGACUAGUGAUGUCUAGAACCUAAACUAACGUGACCCUUCUGAUAAGCAUCCAUGGUAAAUACUGAAAUGAAAUGGCUCCACCUGUCUCCUGAAAUAGGCUUCACAGAGAAUGCCUGCCAGCUACCUGUCAUAGUACUGGCCUCUGGAAACACAGUAGUGACCAAAAAAAGGUAAAUACAGCAACCACUGGGACCAACGUUGAAGGUGUAAGAGGCAGUUUCUUGUUAAUCUUUCUCCUUGAUAUUAAAAGGUAUCAAGAAUGUUACACUGGUACUAGUAAUAUCUAAGAGAGAGAUCUUAGUACCACCUUUUUAAAGUAAGUUUUCUUCCAGGCAAGACUUCUGUCUAAUCAGAGUAAUUUUAACAAUGCCUGAGCUUCUGCAUGAUGCUGUGCAAUGCUAAAAUGGAAUGAAGACAUGUCCACAACCACAGAUUUCCUUUUGAACUACAGGAGUUCUGCCAACUCCUUAAAUUUCAAAGUGCUUUUGAGCCUUUGAUAAUUGAUUUCCUUUAAAAUAUCUGGCAAGUGGGAGACAGUGUCACCUGCUCAGACUUGUUCAACAGCAUAAUGGUUCUGUGUGGCAGCAUCACUUCCUCUGUUGCAGUCUGGCAGAAGAGGACAAGGUGAUGUAAAUCCGUUGCGGCAUCAUUGUCUGGGUAGUCACCCUCAGGUUUUGUGGUUAUGUGUCCCCAUCACAUGCAGUUCUCGGGACUGAAUAACUCCAGUAGCACUGCCUUUAAGGAAGAACUUCUGGUGUGGUUCUGUUUUGGUUUUUCCCCUAGCAAGCACUGUAAACUGUGAGAAUUGUUACAUAUUUUACAUCAUUCUUAUUUUACCCAAAGCUUCCUGGGCAAGCCUGAUUCUUUUCAUGUUGAUGUUGUUACAUGUUUUCACAUAAAUGAACAGUGACACAGGGUAAGAGAAUGAAGCCUGGGAAAUUAAAGUGACUUGUCCACAUCACAUGCCUGGAGCUGCCGGUAUUGUUAUUUCUGUUUCCUCAGUUACUACUUUGCUACAGCAGAGAAGAAACAAUGGAAAGAAGGUAUUUGAUUCUUAAGGGUUCAGUGGUUAUUGCAGCUUUCUGAUGACCUUUUUAACUCCAGCUCAGUCCUGAAUUAUUUCCUGGCUGUCAGGCAGCUACAGGUUUAAAGAUUAGUGGUUACUUACUGUCUGCAAGGAAUUUCCUGCAUGAAUUGCACAGUACCAGUUUACAUACAAGUGGCUUUGGUGCUUGUAAUGAGAAACUUAAAGCCUUGGUUAGCAUAAGGAAAUAAUUCACUUACACUGUAUUUGCUGUAAAAUUUCAACCCAUGAAAAGACCUUUAAUGUAAAGUAUCUAGGGGAGGUAAGCCAUGUUCUGACUCAUUUGAAUGGCAACAAACCACUUGGUACAGAUAGAAGUGUCACUGUUAACUUCCUCUGAAGCUGAACUAGCAGUUCCAACUCUAACAGUAAGGUUGAGUGUCUGAAGAAAAUCACUCAAUUGCUUGAGCAGCAGUAGACCUUUGGCAGAUAUUUGAGCAGUCUUGUAGCUUUUAGUUGAAGUUUAUGCUAAAGAAAUUGCCAAGAAAAGUCCCUGAAUCAAAGCCUUUGCUAACACAUGGCAUUUAGUUAAAACUUGAAAAGUUAAUAUUGCAACAGAACAACACUGCAGCAGUGCUUACAGAUGAACAGAAUUAUGUAAUUCUUUUGGACCAACAGGACAGACACCAAACAGGUAUUUCUGUAAUCUGAUUUCUAUACAUAAGGAUUCUUCAUUUUCCUUGAAAGCAUGUAGGAUUUUGCAUGGAAGAAGUAUGGAGGUGAGGAGGCUCCUGUAUUCUGCAGGGAAACUAUUGACAAAUGAACAGUCAUUGUAUUAUUUACUAUACCAUACUUACUUUUCUGUGCUGGUAGCCUGGAAAAGCUUGCCCCUCUGUGUUACGUGAAGGGGUUAUACUAGAUUUGAACUUAACAUACCUGUGUGCUCUCCUCGCAUGUUUCCAGGUACUAACAACGUAACUAAGAUGAUAAAGUUCUUACCAGGGGAUAGACAACUGUUUUUGUGACAUGAGCUAUUAGACUGCUAAAGUCAA